Molecule: ribosomal RNA, 253 nt
Filed under: uncultured bacterium
Lineage: Bacteria
Description: partial 16S ribosomal RNA
Rfam family: Bacterial small subunit ribosomal RNA
Source: RNAcentral
UACGGAGGAUGCAAGCGUUAUCCGGAAUUAUUGGGCGUAAAGCGUCCGCAGGUGGUUUUGAAAGUUUGCUGUCAAAGCGCGGAGCUUAACUUCGUACCGGCAGUGAAAACUCCAAGACUAGAGUUUGGUAGGGGUCACGGGAAUUCCCAGUGUAGCGGUGAAAUGCGUAGAGAUGUGGAGGAACACCAAUGGCGAAGGCAGCCUCCUGGGCCAAUACUGACACUCAUGCACGAAAGCGUGGGGAGCAAACAGG